Molecule: long non-coding RNA, 20788 nt
Filed under: Prunus persica (peach)
Lineage: Eukaryota; Viridiplantae; Streptophyta; Magnoliopsida; Rosales; Rosaceae
Description: long non-coding RNA (PPER_LNC003776)
Source: RNAcentral
CGUCGGAUAGUAUUAAUUUAUUUCGGAGAGUACUGACUAUUUAUCCAUAAUAUUAUAAGGCGUUUGGUGCUGUUCCGGAUAAAUAAUUUGACUAAGUUAUACUGUGUUUGGUGAUGUUUCAGAUAACAUCAUAUCAGACUAUUUAUAAAUAAAAAAAAUAUAAAAUUUUUUUUGAUAAUUUUAAUGGAAAUUGAGAUUCAAAUGACACAAAUUUUUUUUGGUAAGAUUCAUAUGACAAUAUUUGUUUUUCAAUUGUUUUUGCCAAGAUUUUUUUUCAUAUAACCCAUUAUCAUAAUUGUAGUAUCUCAUAAAAAUUCCAACAUACUCGCAUACGUUAAUAAAAACAGUAUCAAAUAAUGUAUAAUUCAAAGUGAUCACAUAUUAAGGUAAUAAGAGCAAAAGAGAAAGUUGUUCAUAAACCAAACUACAUCAAAGAGUGAAUCACAACUCCCUCGCCUCAAGUAAGAGAAAAACAAAUGCUUUUCUCAUAGCACCAUCCACUGUCAGGAAUAUUUUUUUUAUCAUUUGCUUUCUCCAAAAUUAGCCGUAGUGCCUUAAUUUGGUCAUUAAUAGACAAGUCCAUCUUUGCUUUUCUAAUAACAAUUGACAAAGAAAAAAAAAUGGUUCUUAGAAUUCAGUUUCAUACAUUUUUAAUUUUAUAAUUUUGCUCUUCUAGUCGUCAGGUAUGUAUGUAUUCAACUAAACUACCAAUACUAGCACAGUUGUUUGUUUUUGGAUGAAAACUGGCAAUACUCUGUUUAAUACCAACAAUCUAAAUAUUCCCACAACGUCGAAUCACUAUAUCACAUACAAAAAAAACAUUCGAUUAAAAAAAGUACCAAAAAAAAAAAAUUCAUAACCUAAUUUCUACUAAAAAUUUGAAAUAUAUAAAGCAUAUUGGAGAGAGUAUGAAAAAAGAGAGAAAGUGAGUGAUGGAUACCUGGAGAAGAGUGAAGAAAAUAACAUGUGGAGAAGAUAGUAGAGAACAACCCUAGGGAGAAGAAGAUGAAAAGAGCAUCUGAUUUUUUUUGUAGAACUCGUGUUCUUUUUCCCUAGCCUUAUAAUUAAGCGUGUAUUAUCUAAACCGGGGUGUGUGGGUUGUAUUAGUUAGUUAGGUAAGGAGAGUAUUAAAAGCCCAACCCGUAUAAAAUAGUCGGGUAAUUAAAUAAUACAAGUUGACACCAAACACCUGACAUAGACUAUUUACUCAUAUCCAGAGUCUAAUACGAUGUACCAAACGAGCCCUUAGCUGUUAUAAAAUAAUCUGGAAUACGUGCGAAUAUUGAGCUGCACGUAAAGUAGAUGAGACACAGUAUUUAGCGAGGUUCGGCUAUGCCUACAUCCCCGGAGAGCAGCAGUAGUAACUUUUCCACUAUGUAAAAUAAUAGGGCUACAACUUUAGAGUUUACAAUAUGUGAGGCUCACUGAAUUUUCUCUCUGCUCACUCACCCUAUUUCUUCCUUCUCUUCCUCCUUUCUCUUUCUUCUCUCUUUCCUUCUUUCCUUUUCUUCUCUCUUUCCUCCUUUCCUUUUCUUCUCCCCGUUUCCUAUCUCUUUCUCUCUUCUUCUUUUCCUCUUCUCUUUCUCUCUUCUUCUUUCUCUAUUUAUAGACAUGUUAAAUGGCACCCGUGUUUCUACAAUACACAUCCGUGAGUGUGCAGCCAAAUACUUUGCUUAAUUUUCUUUGUGGGCCCCAUAAAUGUGGGCUCCACAUGUUUCUUCUUUACAACAUUAGCAAUUUCUUUUGGAGAAAAAAGAGAGGGAAAGCCAAGGAAAGAGAAAUUUUUAAAGAAGUCAAAUGGACAAAUGCCUUGUGAUAUAUAGGUUAAAUUGUAGCUAUGGUUUCUGAAAUAUAGUCCGAGUUGUAUUUUCAUCUUUCAACUUCAAAAAUAGGUGUUUUCCAAUAGGUCUUGCAUUGCAGCGUUUAUCCUUUACGUCAAGUCUGUCUAAUUUACCUCUCAAAAAGUCAACUAAAUUGAUAAUUGUAUACCUCAAAUUGAUGGAAUUUAACGAAAUGACCAAUUUGACAUAUGUGAGAGAGUUGGAGGAUGAGUAAAACUAAAAAAAUUAGUUGAAUGAUCAAAAUGAAACCGGGUAUGACCAUUCGAUNNNNNNNNNNNNNNNNNNNNNNNNNNNNNNNNNNNNNNNNNNNNNNNNNNNNNNNNNNNNNNNNNNNNNNNNNNNNNNNNNNNNNNNNNNNNNNNNNNNNNNNNNNNNNNNNNNNNNNNNNNNNNNNNNNNNNNNNNNNNNNNNNNNNNNNNNNNNNNNNNNNNNNNNNNNNNNNNNNNNNNNNNNNNNNNNNNNNNNNNNNNNNNNNNNNNNNNNNNNNNNNNNNNNNNNNNNNNNNNNNNNNNNNNNNNNNNNNNNNNNNNNNNNNNNNNNNNNNNNNNNNNNNNNNNNNNNNNNNNNNNNNCAAAAAUCUUGAACUCCUUUUAAGAAACUUUUUUGAACCAUUAGAUUAAUAUCUAACGGUGAGUAAUCACAAUCUCUUGGACUCCUGUGGUCCAAGAGAUCAAGACUAUUAAAAAAAGAUAACACGAGCAGUUAUGUUUCAUAAAAGUAGGAUCUAUUAUUUAUUUUAAUUUUUAAUUUUAAUUUAUUUUAAUAUGAAAAAAUAUAAAUUUACUAUAUUAUUCUCAUUUAAUUAAUAAUUUCAAUUCUCAAUUCUUAAUUAUUAUCCUCAUCGAAGUGUUGCCUUGGCUGCUGCUGAAUUGGUUUAUAUAGCUAAAAUGUUUAAAGACAUUGGCUUCUUUCUAGGCACUCCUCCUCUUCUCUGGGUGGACAAUCAACUGCUAUUUCUUUGGCUUCUAAUCGUGUGUUUCAUACCAGGACUAAACACGUGGAGGUUGAUUAUCACUUCACACGAGAAUUGGUGCAAAAUGAUUAAUCAGCUUCCUGACAUUUUUACAAAGUCUCUAUCUUCCUCUCUUUGUGUAUCUUCCAUCCAAGCUUUCAGUUUGUGACACUACCUUCAGCUUGAAGGGGCUGAUAGAUAUAUCUCCACAUCUAAUUCUAGCCUUUCAUUAUAGAGUUGUUAAUUUCUGUUUAGCUUUAUUUUAAUAAAUUGUAAAGCUGUCAUUAAUGUACAUCUAUAUUAUUACAAGUGUAUAUAAACAAUUCAAUGUAAUCAUUAUUGUUUAAUAAAAUGAGAAUACAAUUUUAGUUUUCUCACAAAAUAUUGAAGGAGAAUUAGAAAGUGGAAAAGUCAAGAAGUAGAGGAUUAGUGUCAGGACUUUUAGGCCUGAGGAAACAGUACUGAAGUUGACAAUGAGUAAGAGAUUCUUUGAUAUUAGCAAAACUAACACGACAAACAUGCCAAAUGUUGGGAUUUUGGGUGACUGAUUUUGAAAUUAAAAUGUUGUAGUGGUGACGUUGUCGAAAAUGUUAGGUGAGAGAAGAACAUAUCAUGUAUUCAUUUUCUAGCCAUCUAUAAAUUGUUUUUUUUAAAUAAAAACAUUAACAACAUUACAUGUAAAACUUGACCCCAAAAAUAAAUAAAUAAUUACAUGUAAAACAAUUGAGUGAUGGGGGCCAUUGCAUUAUUCCCCUUUGGAUUUAUGCAUGCAGGAGGAGCUAGUAGGCUUCGCAUUUAUGGGUAGAAUGGACAUUAUUGGACAACCUUAGGUAUGCAUAUAUAGGAAAACGUCCAAAAUCCAUAAAGUUGGGACGUACGUGGUGGUGCAUGCAUGUUGGUAUUUGAUAUUGAUAUUUUAUUCCCACCCAAAAUAUUACAAACGAAUGCAGUCAAAAAAUAACUCAAAACCAGUGCACACUCGCGUCACGUGCUUCUGCAGACACAAACUAGUAAGCAAUUCACAGAGGACAUAGCCACAGAGGGGGAGCAGAUCGAUGCAAAUUAUUAAGUUUUUCUUUAAGCCAAAAAACUCAGCACCGACAUGACUUAAUAAUUAAGAUUACCACAGUAUAUCGAUCUGAUACACUAUCAGAUAAACAAAAAACAAAACAACAAAUUACAGAAAUUGAUCCCUCAAGAAGUAGAUUUCACUUCCAAGCUUUCACAUGCUAUUAAUUAUUAGCUGACACAUAUUAUGCUAAUCAAUUAAACCACAGUGACCACUAAUUGGGAUAUUUAGAACUGUGCUGUGGUGAUGAUCAACUUCAACUAUGCAGGGCACUGGAAUCCAGAGGGUGGAGUUUUCCCACAGUCAAUCAGAACCUGAAGAGCGAUGGGGAUGAUGAUGUUGAUGUUGAGAAGCUUAGCCUUGAUGGUGGUGCAAAGGCAAAUUGCAGCAUCCAAGUCCACCAGCCCUUGAAGCACUGGACAGCAUGCAUCCUUGGCACUGCUGCCAAUUCCAAUGUGAAUGAGGCCACCCAACACAUCCACACAAGCUCCCAACUUGAGAGUGUCGAUGGGACACGUGUUCUUUGGUGGUGAUGGGGUUGGCACUGGUGUUGGUGGUGGUGGAGGAGGACAUGGUGUCUCAGUGGGUGGAGGAGGCUUAACUGGUACAACUGGGGUAGGUGUAGGUGUUGGUGGGCUUGGUGGUACAACAGGUGGUGAUGGUGGUGGCUUAACUGGUACAACUGGGGUAGGUGUUGGUGUUGGUGGGCUUGGUGGUACAACAGGUGGUGAUGGUGGUGGCUUAACUGGUACAACUGGGGGCUUGGGUACAUAGGGUGGUGGGGGUUGUACAACUGGGGGCUUGGGUACAUAUGGUGGUGGUGGUUGUACAACUGGGGGUUUGGGGAUGAAGGGUGGGUGCACAAUUGGGGGUUUAGGGAUAAAAGGUGGGUGCACGAUUGGGGGCUUGGGGAUGAAGGGUGGGUGCACAAUUGGGGGCUUGGGGAUGAAGGGUGGGUGCACAAUUGGGGGUUUAGGGAUGAAGGGUGGGUGCACAAUUGGGGGUUUAGGGAUGAAGGGUGGGUGCACAAUUGGGGGUUUAGGGAUGAAGGGUGGGUGCACAAUUGGGGGCUUGGGGAUGAAGGGUGGGUGCACAAUUGGGGGCUUGGGGUGGGGUGGUGGUUUGACAAUAGGAGGCUUGGGGAUGAAGGGAGGUCUCACAAUAGGUGGUUUGGGGACAGAAGGAGGUUUUGGUAUAUGGGGAGGAUAUACAAUGGGGGGUUUGGGGCCAUGAGGUGGCUUGGGUACAUGGGGUGGAUGAGGAUGAGGUGGCUUUGAUGGUGGCUUGGGAACAUAGGGAGGCUUUACAUGAGGGGGAUGGGGUGGUUUUGAUGGUGGUUUGGGAACAUAGGGAGGCUUUACAUGAGGAGGAAGAGGUGGUUUUGAUGGUGGUUUGGGAACAGAGGGAGGCUUUACAUGAGGGGGAUGAGGUGGGUGUUUAGGUGGUUUAGGGAUGAAGGGUGGCUUUACAUGAGGAGGCUGUUUGGGUGGCAAGUGUGGAGGGUAUGUUGGUGGUGGACAGUAGGAGUUAGCAAGAGAAGUGAGCAAACUACCCAAAUUCACAAUGAGGACUAAGAGCAAAGCCAGGGUAUAAUUCCCCAUGUUCAAAACUCCACAACCCUCAAAAGAGUUGGGUUGUUUAAGACCGGAUAUUGAAACCCAACACCAUGCAAAAGCCUUCUUAUAGAGAUAUGGUGAGACAAGUUGUGAGUGAGUAUGUACAUAAGAGAGAGAGAGAGAGAGAGAGAGAGAGAGAGAGAGAGAGAGAACACAAUCCUGUACCUUUCUUUGUGGUACCAACUAAAGAUAUAUAAAACUAUUAAUCUCUGUGCAUAAUUAAUUAAUUUGUCAAAUUGCCAAGAUGCACAUUGAAUUGAGGUCUCUCCAAACUCCAAACUUCAACUUGAUCAGUAUCAAAUUCACCACAAACAAAAGGGAGGAAUUGAGUCACUUUCUUCCUUUACAUUCAGAACCAAGUAGGGCACUGCAAUCACUGACUUAAACUGUAGACAAAAGUAUUCAGCUUUUAAGGAGAAAAGGAUCAAGAAAACGCGGUUUUGUGAUAGAGGCAAGUUUUAACAUGUAGUGAGAGCCUUGCAAGUGACUAUUCAACCCGUGAUUGAGGUUUUGAUGCCAAGCCACAUGUGAGGCUUUCAUUGACAACAUUUUCUUGCAUUAAAAAAUUCUAAGGGUACAAAAGAGGCCUUAGACUUUUUCUACUUAAAGCACAUGGUUUUUCCUUUUUUCAUUUUUUGGGGGUUUUCUCCCGAAUAGACGAGUCCAUUAAUGCUACAAUGUUUUAGUCUAAGAAAUAUUCCUAUAUGAAUAGACCGUACAAUUGUAUUUGAGUGUCGGUUAUCUUAAUUUAUUAUUUUUUAUAUAAACGAUAUUGUAUUUUAAUUUAAUCCAUACUAUAAAAAGAAUUAUUUAAAUUUAGAUACAAAAUAAAGAACACAUUUGUUCUAACUAACUUAAUUAAUCCUAUGUGUGCAAUUAUUUUUUACAAUUAAACAACUCGAUUUGAUGUAGGAAUUUUCCUUGUACAAUUUAACUUGCUCGCUUUGCAAUUUCAUUUCAAAAAAGUAUAUGCAUGGCCUAGCCAUCAUGUCUUUCAAAUCAACAGCUCAUCAUAGGGCAUCUUUUUAAAAUGAGGGUAAUGCUGGCUUCACAUGCAGCUGCACAAUAAUUUCAAGAAUUAUUAAUCGUACCUAGCAUUGUUAGCAAGACAUUUAGGGCUGUAAUUAUGUGAAAAGUGAUGUUCGCCGAAUCAAUUAUAUAAGGAGAACUUACUGCAAAACAACUCUGUGUGGAACCCAUCUACUUGUUCUUUGUUUUUUUUAGGUCUGAAGUCCAUCUACUUGUUCACUCCACGCCAUUGAAGUGUAGUCUAUCUAAAAUGGUAAGGGUGCCCUAGUUUAGGCGUAAGUACUAUGUGCAGGGUUUUGGGUUUUUCUUUGUAGACAAAAACCUAGAAGUAUCAUAUCUACAUUGUUCUGACUAUUAAAAAAUUAGACAAAGGGGUAAUGAUUAUGCCAAAAUGAAUUUCAACAUCACUUUCGACCGACAAAAUUUCAUUUGCUUAUAUCGAAGCUCGUAUUGAAAUUUAUUAAUUUUAACAAAGUUAGAAUAUGUCAUCUGUCACGUAAUUUGGUGAAUAAAUUUUAUCUUUCGGUGCCUCUACAAUAUUAAAGCAUCAAAUAGUGCAAAUCAUGACAUCUUAUUUCAACGUUCAUUAACAGACCUUCAUACAAUCAAGGCAUCGGAUGCAAGUAGGGUGGUAGAUUUUUUCCCCUUUUCAACCCAAUAAUAUGAGUUAAAACAAUUAUAUGUGGAACACAAUAACACCGCUUUAAUAAUUCUAUCUAAAAGGGUAUAUGCGACAGCUGGCCAAGAGGUAUAUUCCAUGUACACAAAAUGUUACUUUCAACUACAUGCCAAUAUUUCUACAGCGAAAAUUCCAAAUCAACAUGCAAAGGGAAAAUGAAAUGGGAUGUACUUGCUGUAGUGCCUGUUUGGAUAGAAAGAAAGGAAAAGAAAAGAAAAGAAAAUUCAUUUCUUGGAGAAACCAGAAAUUGAGUUUUUCGUCCUUAUUUUCGAAGUGUCGCAAUCAAGUUUUUUUGAUAUAUUGAUGAGUCAUCCAUUGUAGAAGAAAUGGCAUCCAUCAAAACCUGCCACCAUUAAAAUCCAUGCAAAUCCACUUGUUACAAUUAUAUGAAGUCACUUGUGCAAAGCGACAUAUGAAUUUAAAGGGCGAUAAAGCCGAUGUAAUAUAUGUAGGGUCAGGCUGAGACUACUUUGUCUCCAAAUCUUUAACCAAAUCUAAUUUAACACUAAUUAUUAUUGCUCACUACAUCAAGUAAGAAAGAUUAAUAGUAUUUUUCGGUGUGAAUGCAUAAACGUAUCUGUGGAUUCUUAUUAUUUCGAUGUGAGCUUACAGCUUAGCAUAUUAACCUCACUUCAUAUAAAAAUUAUCUCCAAUCCUGAGGUCUAACUUUAUAAAAAAAAAUGAAAAUGACUUUGUAGGUCCAAAUCAAAAUGCAACGUGCCGACAAACACGGACUUAGUCAAGUUGGUUAAAGUGAAUGUGCUAUUCUCACUUUGCAUUCGAUUUCAAAUUCCCCUCCUUAUGAUUUAGAUUAGAUCUAAGUAAAACAUUGCUUAUAUAUAAAAGCAAUAUGCAGCUGUAUGCAGAAGAUUUGGUUGAAUAAUUGCUCUAUAUAAAAUAAUAGGUAAAGUACCUUGAUUAUCUUUUUUCCAACAACCCUGUUCCCUAUAUCUGCCCAUUGUUUAUAUCAUAAUCAAUCAAUUAAUUGAUUAACAACACCAAAUUCUUGAUACCUUCAGCAAAGACACGAUAUUUUCUACCCAAUUUAGUUUGUCGUUUGAAGAAAAAGAAGAAGGAAAAAAAAAACAUUUAGUUUGUCAGAUCAUAUCUUAUAGCAUGAGUGUUAUAUUUAAAACUAUAUAAGAAGGGGCAAAAUUUGGACAUACUUGGAUCAACUGUAACAAUCAUGGCAGUCCCUCCAAAAUCACAAGUGCCACCGGCAGCCCUGGUGCUCUGCCAGUAGCUGUUGAAGGCGUACGAAGCGUGGGACAACAAUGUGUCUGGUUUAUAGCAGGACCCAUUGGGCUGGAUUGACUUGCAGUCUGCACCAGACCCACACGCAUAGUCCAGGGCCUCUUGGACUAUUGGGCCAGGCACGGCUGGCUUGGCCACACACCACACCGCGCCAGACUGUGGUGGCUUUUUUCGUGGAGGGCUUGUGGGCCCUGAUGGUGGAGGGUAAGCUACAGGUGGGGCCAAGGCUGGUGGGCCUGGGAUAGGCUUGGGUGGGGAUGGAGGAUUUUUGGGUGGGCCUGGAAUUGUGGUGGGUGGGCCAGGUGGGUGAGGGGUGGGCCCAUUUGCAGGUGGUGGUUUUGGGAUGGGUGAGCAAGUGGGUGCAGAAGAUGAAGGGGAGGAGGAAGAUGAAGGAGUAUUUGGUUGAGGUGGGUUUUGGGAAAAUGGUGGAUUUGCACAGUAUGGAGGAAGAGGAACAUUUCCAGGCAAGGGAAGUGGUGCCAGUGAAUCAAAGGGUGGGAAAGAGAAGGGAGGACUUACCUCUAGUGGCUUAACAUUUGAGGAAGGCAAUGGUAAAUCUAACUCUAAGUGAUUUAUUGCUUUCAGCUUCUUCUCUAAUUCUGUGUCUUGGGAUUUUAAGAAUUGUGCAAAAAUUCUUGCAUCUGCUCUAAAACAAAGUCACAUAAUAAGUUGUUAAAAUUGUUCAAGUAGUGUGUCUUUGGAAAACCCAAAUAAAUAAAUAAAUUCUUGCUUACCACAUAAAAUGGAGAAAGUUGUGAAUGAAAUGGAGAUGAUGGCCAAUCUCAUGUAAGACAUUGUGGGCUGCAUCUCUUGAAAAGCCAAUGUGAUUAAAGGCAAAAUACCCAGAAGAAGCUGACUGAAAAUUUUGUGCUUAUUUAAUUCAUCCCUCAAGCAAACACUUGGGAUAAGUAUAUAUAGGCAGAUGCUUAGGCAGGCCAGAGAUGUGUGGGAGUGGUAACAAAAGGCGGUGGCCAUAAAGGAAAAUUAUCAACAUAGAGAGACUAAAGGAGAUUCCUGUGUCACAACUUUGUAGCCUAAGACUCAAAAAUAGUGUAAGAUAUACAACAUGCAGAGGACAAAGGUGAGGGAGAGAGAGACUAGAGAGUGUUGGUUUUGGAGAGGUGUACAAGAAACUUUUCUCCCUUUUUGCAUCUUCCUUUGAAUAUAUUCUUGCUUGGCAGUGGAGAAAUAUGAACAGUGGAGUUUUCUGCACUUUUAUUUGCUUGCUUUCCACUCAAAGUGAAACAAACUUCCACUCUGUUAAAGUAUAAGAGAUUUAGCUGAGUUUGUUACUUAAAUUAUGAGCCUUUGGAUCACAGUCCAAAUGGACAGCUAGGAUGUAUUCUUAGGUGUAGUUGAUUUGUGCCAAGUGUAGCUAUCUCAUAGGGUAGUUAAUGAUUGGUUAGAUUUGCUGAUGUAAGAGAGAAUAUUCUUUUCUUUUACUGUUAUAUUGGUAUGCACAGAUUGUGCAUGACUAAGUGUGAGAAUACAAUCUGAUAUUUUCAUCUUCUUCUUCUCCACGUUUUCUCUCUACAUUUUACUAGAGCUCCAUUCACCUAUAAUCCAAAAACAUGGCAGAUCAUAGUCUGCAAAUGCUAACAUGGUAUCACUGAGCCAGGUUUGAUCGUUUAGCUGGGCGUUUGAAUCUGUGAAGGAAGUGAGCUGCGUUUUCUAUCAAAUCUUGCUCUCUGUGAAAUCUGUGUCUAACAUGGCAGGAUCUGGAGGUGGUGAGCUGCGUGCUCCAAUCUUCAAUGGUGAGAACUAUGAAUUCUGGAGCAUAAGGAUGAAAACCAUUUUCAAAUCUCAUGGGAUUUGGGAGCUGGUUGAGAGAGGAAUAGAAGGCUCAGAUUCGAAGGGAGCUGAUGAAUCUGAUACAAAACAAAAGGAAAAAGAGGAAUCAAGUGGUUCUGGGAAGAUGGCUAUAGCUGAGAUCCUGAUGAAGGAUGCUAAGGCCUUGGGGUUGAUUCAAGGAGCAGUAUCUGAGGUGAUCUUCCCCAGGAUUUCUCAUGAAGAAUCAUCUCAUGGAGCCUGGAACAUCCUGAAGCAGGAAUUUCAUGGUGAUAAGCAGGUAAGAAGUGUAAAACUGCAGGGACUUCGUAGAGAAUUUGAAUACACUAGAAUGAGAGAGGAUGAAUCUCUAUCUGCUUAUCUUACAAAGUUGUUUGAUCUAAUAAACCAAAUGAGAGGUUAUGGGGAAGAACUAUCUAGAGAAAGAAUUGUGCAGAAAAUGUUAAUUAGUCUGCUGCCUGGAUAUGAUCCAAUCUGUUCUGUGAUUGAACAUUCAAGGGAUCUAGAUGUAAUUGAGGUUCAAGAGGUGGUAGCCUCAUUGAAGAGCUUUGCUCAAAGGUUGGAAAGACAUCAUGAGAACAAAACUGAGAAGGCCUUUGCUAGUCUGAGUACAGAUACCAAAUCUGCUAAGGCCACUGGAAAUCAGAAUUCCAAGCAGCAGAAGACUUGGAAAGACAAAGGGAAGAAGUGGGAUAAUAAACCUACGGAUGGAACUAAAACUCCUUGCAAACAUUGUGGGAAAUUGCAUUAUGGAGAAUGUAGGUUCAAGGGCAAACCAAAGUGCUAUAACUGUGACAAGCUUGGUCACAUUGCCAAAGACUGCUAUAGCAAGAAACCUGAACAGCAGCAGCAGCUUCAGUUUGCUACUCAGGUUACUUCUUCACCAACCAUGUUCUAUGCUAACAAUGCAACUGAGAAAAGGUCCAUGGAAGAGGUAUGGUACUUGGACAGUGGGUGUAGUAACCACAUGACUGGCAGAGAAGAUGUUUUGAUUGAUAUUGAUAGGAAUGUGACUGCAAAAGUUGCUAUGGGAACAGGACAGUUGGUUGAUGUUAUUGGAAAAGGAAGCCUGAUGGUUCAAACUAAAAUGGGAAGGAAAUAUAUCAAGGAGGUGCUAUUGGUAUCUGGUCUCAAAGAGAACCUACUCAGCGUUGGACAAAUGAUGGAGCAUGGAUAUUUCCUAAUUUUUGGAGAUAAUAAGGCAGAAGUCUAUGAUGAUAGCUCUCUUUCAAAUCUAGUGGCUAGAGUGGAUAUGAAAGGAAAUAGAAGUUUUCCUUUGAAACUUCAAACAGAUUUACAUAUUGCUCUAACUGCAAGCAUUAACCAAUCAACCUUGCUUUGGCAUAGGAGAAUGGGGCACUUAAACUUGCAGAGUUUGAAACUGCUGCAGAAUGAAGACAUGGUGUUUGGUCUGCCAGAAAUCAAAAAUACAAAUGCAGUGUGUGAAGGCUGUACUUUUGGAAAACACUGCAGGAAGGCAUUUCCAAAAGAAGCAACCAGCAGAGCUACAUCUCCACUGGAAUUGGUACACACUGAUGUGUGUGGACCAAUGCAAACUGUUACCAAAGCAGAAAACAGGUAUUUCCUCACCUUUAUAGAUGACUGUACAAGAAUGUGCUGGAUCUAUUUCUUGAGAUGCAAAUCUGAGGUAUUCACAGUGUUUAAGAGGUUUAGAGCCACUGUUGAAUUGCAAAGUGGAUAUAAGGUGAAGAAACUAAGAAGUGAUAGGGGAGGAGAGUACACCUCUAAUGAGUUCAAUAAAUUCUGUGAUGAAAUGGGAAUGGAGAGGCAGCUUACAGUGGCAUACUCACCACAGCAGAAUGGUGUGGCUGAGAGGAAAAACAGAACCAUAGUGGAGAUGGCCAAGUGUAUGAUGAUUGAGAAGGGCAUGCCACUUGAGUUUUGGGCAGAAACUGUUAAUACUGCAGUGUAUAUUCUAAACCGAAGUCCAACUAAAGCUCUGGACAAGAAAACACCAUUUGAAGCCUAUAGUGGGAGAAAGCCAGGACUUAAACACUUAAGAGUGUUUGGAUCUUUGUGCUAUGCACAUGUUCCAAAUCCACAGAGGCAGAAACUGGAUUCAGCAAGCAACAGAUGUGUGUUUCUAGGAUAUGGCAGCUGUGAGAAAGGGUAUAGACUGUAUAACAUUGCCACUGAAAAGGUGAUUAUCUCAAGGGAUGUGGUAUUUAAUGAAGAAGCUAGCUGGGAUUGGAAUGCAAAGCAAGAAUGCAGUGUUUCAGUGCCAUUUACUGAAGUUGUGUCUGAAAAGGAGAAAGGGAGCAAUGACACAGCUGUGAAGCAAGCAGAACAUUCAGUUGAGAAUGAAUUGCUAACAGAAGACAAUGAAGAAAGAUCUGUGGUUGAUACAGGUACUCAAGAUAUUGACCACACUCCAUUGAGAUACAAAAGUCUUACAGAGAUCUAUGAAAGCUGCAACAUCUGCAUCAUUGAACCAGAAUCCUUUGAAGAAGCUGUCAAGGAUGCAGCAUGGCAAAAGGCAAUGGAAGCAGAACUUGAGAUGAUAGAAAAGAAUGAAACUUGGGAUUUGGUAAAAAGACCAUCUGAUAAACCUAUAGUUGGUGUCAAAUGGAUCUUUAAAGUCAAGCUAAAUCUGGAUGGUUCUGUUCAGAAAAACAAAGCAAGGCUAGUAGCUAAAGGCUACACUCAAAAGCCAGGAAUUGAUUUCAAUGAGACAUUUGCACCUGUUGCUCGGCUUGACACAGUUAGAACACUGAUUGCUCUGGCUGCUCAGAAAAGGUGGAAACUGUUUCAGCUUGAUGUAAAGUCAGCCUUCUUAAAUGGAGUGCUACAAGAGGAGGUGUAUGUGGAUCAACCUCCAGGAUUUGUGGUUCAAGGCAAGGAAGACAGAGUUUAUAGACUCAAGAAGGCUCUUUAUGGUCUCAAACAAGCUCCAAGAGCUUGGUAUGAAGAAAUUAAUUCAUACUUUGCUGCUGCAGGAUUUCAGAAAAGUCCUAGUGAGGCUACAUUAUAUGUGAAAGCUGCAGAAAGUGGAAUCCUAAUUGUUUCACUAUAUGUAGAUGAUAUCAUCUACACAGGAAGCUCUAAAGAAUUGGUGAUGAGUUUUAAAACUGAAAUGAUGAAGAGAUAUGAAAUGACAGAUCUGGGAUUGUUGCACCAUUUUCUGGGAUUGGGUGUGAUACAAGCUGAGUCCUACAUCUUCUUGCAUCAGAAGAAAUAUGCAAGAACACUGUUGGACAAGUUUGGUUUAAAGGACUGUAAAGCAGUGUCAACUCCACUUGCUAUGAAUGAGAAGUUAUCCAAGGAGGAUGGAAGUGAACAGGCUGAUGAAAAGCUGUACAGACAGAUUGUUGGAAGCUUACUAUAUCUGACUGCAACAAGGCCAGAUAUCAUGUUUGCUGCAAGUCUCUUAGCAAGAUACAUGCAUGGACCUACUAAGAAACAUAUGGGAACUGCUAAGAGAGUACUUAGAUACAUUCAAGGUACUCUAGACUAUGGCAUUGCAUAUGAGAAAGGAAAAGAGGCAAUGCUGGUUGGAUAUUGUGACAGUGAUUGGUCAGGCUGUGAAGAUGAUAUGAGGAGCACAUCUGGCUAUGCCUUUCACCUUGGAUCAGGUGUUUUCUCUUGGGCAUCUGUUAAGCAGAGCAGUGUAGCUCUAUCCACUGCAGAGGCAGAAUAUGUUAGUGCAGCUGAAGCUACAGCUCAAGCAGUCUGGUUAAGGUUUGUUCUAUCUGAUUUUGGUGAAGAACAAGUUGAGGCUACAACAAUCCUAUGUGACAACACUUCUGCAAUAGCAAUAACAAAGAAUCCUGUGCAUCAUCACAGGACAAGACACAUAAGCAGAAGGUUUCAUUUCAUCCGAGAUGCUUUGCAAAAUGGUGAGAUUGAUCUGCUAUACUGCAAAACUGAUGAGCAGAAUGCAGACAUCUUCACUAAGGCUUUGGCAAGGAAUAGGUUUGAAUAUCUAAGGAGCAAGCUUGGAAUUAUUUCAGCUAAACACUUAGAAGGGAGUGUUAAAGUAUAAGAGAUUUAGCUGAGUUUGUUACUUAAAUUAUGAGCCUUUGGAUCACAGUCCAAAUGGACAGCUAGGAUGUAUUCUUAGGUGUAGUUGAUUUGUGCCAAGUGUAGCUAUCUCAUAGGGUAGUUAAUGAUUGGUUAGAUUUGCUGAUGUAAGAGAGAAUAUUCUUUUCUUUUACUGUUAUAUUGGUAUGCACAGAUUGUGCAUGACUAAGUGUGAGAAUACAAUCUGAUAUUUUCAUCUUCUUCUUCUCCACGUUUUCUCUCUACAUUUUACUAGAGCUCCAUUCACCUAUAAUCCAAAAACAUGGCAGAUCAUAGUCUGCAAAUGCUAACACACUCUCUCUCUCUCUCUCUCUCUCUCUCUCUCUCUCUCUCUCUAUAUCAGGCUCUACAUUUCUCAGGAAGCUAUUAACUUGUUAUUAAAUGGUUCCUUGGGAUUAAUAUUCCAAAAUAGUUUGACAUCCUUUCCAGCCUUAGCAAUCAUAUUUCACACACUAAUGCAUGUUUUUCAGCUUGAUGUGGUAUUAGUUGACUUCAAUAUUACAGAACUCUUGGUUCAUGCUCAUCACUGAACCUGAAACCUAGGAGUUUUUGUUUGGGAAUGUAACCAGGAAGAUCAAAAUAUACCAAACUUGGGAACGAGAGAGGUGCAUAAAACUUUUGCUCAUCAUCAAAGCUAAAUGUGUCAUCGUAGUUUGAGCAUAUUUCUUACUCUCUAUAUAUUUCAUUGCAGACACACAAGACUUUCAGUUUUAACUAAGAACAACUAAAAAGCCCACAUGAACUCCUUUGCUAGAAUUUGCUGAAAAAGAAAUUGUAAUCUUCAUUAAGCAGGCUUACAUAGGUAAAUAAAUUGUGUAGCUCUUAUUCUUGUUAUUAACUGUUAAAUUAAAAUCUCCAUGUCAUCCUGUUUUUUUUUUUUUAACUGUUUGGCAACACCACUUUGCCAUCCAUAAACUAUAACUAUUCUUCUCCCUAAGGGAAUUUUAUUAGGAAAUUACCCAUCUGGUAUGUAAAUCAUGUUUCAGAGUUCACAUUUAAACACAACCUUUAAACUUGGACAAUAAAUUAUAGGACCGUUGCCAACAACCCGACGCCAUCUAUAACAAGUGUGGCUUGAACUGUUCUUGAAUUUAGAAAGCAAAUUUAAGAAGCUCCAUUACUUAGCAUGUAAGUUUUGUUUCCGAGUUCAAUUGGAAAAAAUUAUGCUAUCGUUGGCAACUGUCCCUUGCCAUCUAUAACAAUCCAGGCUUGAACUUUUGUUGAAUUUAGGAAGCAAUUUAAUUAGCUUCACUACUCAAAAUGCAAAGGAUGUUUUUAAAUUUCAAAUUCAAACAUUAGGAAGCAAUUGAAUAAAUUAUGUGGCUGUUGCAACGGUCCCCUGCCAUAUUCGAUAUCUACCAUGUUUAUCAUUUAUGACCUGAAAAGGCAUAACAGGGCAACUAAGCUGACUCUAGUAUAAAUCUGCUCAAUUGUUCAAGUUAUCCAUCAUAUUGUGUUUGCUAAACCACAGCCUUAUUCAGGACAAUAAGAAAUAUGGCUGCAGACCCUUCCCCAAGGAUGCUAAUCACUCAUAAGGGACCCUGUGUCCGCUACAUUGCUUGGACUCCACUCUUGAAUGGUUUCUGGAAGCUCAGCUUCACAGGUCAUUACAAGCACGAAUCGAAGACUACUUCAGUCGGCUGCAUUUCUGAGAGAUCACAAUGCUGUAUUUAAAGCUGCCUUUGCGCAACAUGUAGAAAUGGUCAGCAGCUUUACAAGGGCUCAGUCGACUGCAGUCAGCUGGGCCCUUGAAUUAGCUAAAGGUGAAGGUGUCGAUUACCUUGAAAUCGAAGGAAAUCAUCCGUUUGUGUUUCGGAUGAUGUGGGGCGACAUCACCAGAACUAGCUCUAUGAUCAGGGGCUUGUUAAUAAAUGCAGAUGUGAUUUAAGACAGAUUAGGAGUGUGAGGCUCCGACAUGUCAACAUGUAUGGUAAUUUGGCUGCGAACUUGCUUGCGAGAAUUUCUUUGCAGCCUCAACAAGAGAGGUCAUGGUUUGGUGACCCUCCGGAAGAAAUAAAUGGAAUUCUAGUGAGGGAUGUGAUCGGUCGUUGGAUCGCUUUCUCGGACCUAUGAGUGAGUCAUCAUUUGGAUGACACAGAAGGACUUCGUGGAUUUCUUUCUUCAAGGAAAAAUCUGUUAAGUUGCUUUUCUUUUUGGUUAAGUAGCAGUUUGCACAUCUUUUAUUUUCAGAAAUGAAAUAUUUUGGAUUAGUGAUGAUUGUGAAGCCCUUGAUUUUUCUAAUCUCUUCCUUAAAGAAUUAAGAUGUGUGAACAUGUAACUACUAAGAACAAAAGUCAUCUGCUUAAUCUCACAUUUCAUUUUCAUUUUCUUCCUUUGUAGUUUAAUUGUAUUCCCUGACCUUUCCGGUACUGACCAUGACCCCUAUCUAUCAAAACCAAGUUCAAAUAAGGGAGAAUUUUUAAGGAGAUAUAUUGAUGACCUUGGGUGGAAUUUUUUCUUAGUAAAACUUUUAUGUGGUUUUACUCAAUAAACAAGUUACUCGUUUUACUCGACUUGAAUUUUUGCCUAUUUUGUCUAGAAUCAAUUACGUUUGAUGAUGAAACCAAUUACCAAAUAGUUCUUAAUCUAGUGAUACUUCUCUUCUCAACAAGUUACAAGGAUUCCGAACUCAAUUUAAUCACCUGUAGAAAUUACUUUGUCGCUGACAUGCCCGUGUGCCUUCAAAUGUUGAGGUCCAUUAGAAAGUGACCGUGCCUUUUAUCAAUAACAAACCCACAUGCCCAACUUGACCAACAAAUAAUAUUUUAAUAAAGUAACCGGUGCCUUUUAAGAAUGUAUUGUGGGAUGAAUUAAUGAUCUACCACAAUUAAAUGCAUUUUCAAAUAGCGAAAUAUUACAACAUCGCAGAGAGGUAUUGCAUGAUCUACCACUCUAGUUAUUCUGUUGCUGCAGUGCAGUGCAAUGCAGGUGUACAACUUAUUGUUCAACAGAAAACACAAAAUAACUUAACUUGAACUAAGUCCAUAAUAUAAAAAAGAUGAAGAGGCCAUGGACUGGAAACUCUGGAUCCAGAUGAUGUAGGGAUCAAGGGGUGUAUGGCCUUGGAAUAAGAUACAGAGGAGCUUUCUUAUGGACUGUGAGUCCGAACACUUCGGUCAUGUUCAAUGUGUCAGCCAAUUUAGUACCACCACUAGGCAACUUCCAAUCGAACCAAAACAGUAGGUUGGCAAGCACAUAUUCAGCUGAAGCAACCGCAAAGGCCAGUCCGGGGCACACCCUUCUUCCACCACCAAACGGGAGGAGUUCGAACUCUUGACCUACCAAACCGAUGGAGUUCUGCUCAAACCUCUCUGGCAUAAACUCUUCUGGCUUGUCCCAGACUCUGCGGUCUGUUUGUAUUGCGAAUGCAUUCACAAACACUUGUGUUUUCGCAGGGAUGUCGUAACCUCCCAAUUUUACAUCUGCAGUUGUUUCACGAGGAAGUAAAAGAGGACCUGGAGGAUGAAGCCUUAGAUUUUCGGUGAUUACACAUGACAAGUACUUCAUUUCCUUGAUGUCACUCUCGUCUACAUAUCCCCUUUUCCCCGCCACUCUUCUUACUUCUUCUUGGACUUUCUUCAUCACCCGUGGAUUUUGCGAAAGCUCAGACAUUAACCAUAGCAUUGAUGUCCAACUAGUAUCACUUCCCCCAACAAACAUGUCCUAAAUCAUGAAAUUAAAUAGCCAAAUCAAUCUUCAUCCAUAUAUAUUUUUAUUAGAAAAUUAGACGUAAAACCAAAAGUAUUAGGGUUUAUCAAUGUGCGCGUGUGUGUGGGUAUGCUCGUGCCUGUUCAAGAUAAAGUAAGUGAAUGAGUAUAAUGCGAGUAUGUAAGCUAGAGAGGGGGGGAUAUAGACCUGCAUAAGUCCUUUGACAUUGAACUCAAAAUCGAGCGAGCCAUCCUCUUCAAGGUCGAGGAGUAAAUCCACAAUAUCCUUCUUACGAGGCUUACCAUCUUUCUGCGCUGCUUUAUGUUCGUCAAGCAACUUAUCAUAAAAUCCAUCCAAUUCACGUCGAAUUGAUUUCAAACGUGCAAUGUAGCCUCUGGCAUGGUCAACCCAUUUCAAAGAAGGGUAGAAAUCUCCAAAGCUGAAAGUCAUCAUCUGAACCAUCAACUCCUUUAUGACCUUUUCAAACCAAUUGUCUUCUUUGUCCUCAAACUUCUGUCCAAGAACGCACCUACAGAUGAUGUUGUUGGAGGUUGACACCAGCAGCGGCCCCAGAUUGAUGGGAGCCCCGUUUGUGCUGGCGGAGGCUUUGCGAAUCUUGCUGACCAGCUCUGCACAUUCUUCCACCCUUGCGUACUGAAACUGCUGCACUCUUUUCACGCUCAGAAGCUCAAGAACAACCACUUUUCGAGCUUUUCUCCAGUACUCCCCGUAAGGAGCAAACGCAACGUUAUAGCCGUUGAAGAACAAUAUAGUUGCAGCUGUAGUUUGAGGCCGGCCAGAGAAACCAAUGUCUUGGUUCUUCAUCAUGUCCUUGGCCAGUUCUGCAGAUGAAACUACCAGCGUUGGAAGUUUGCCAAAGUGCAUGAGCAUUAUAUCACCAUACUUCUUCGACAGAUCACGAAGAGAGCGGUGUGGGAAUUUGCCUAGCUGGUGAAGGUUCCCAAUCAGAGGCAGUGUUGGUGGGGAAGGUGGCAGUUCGUAGUUUUUCCCACUUGAAGAUGAUCUUGUAAGUGAUAACAAAAUGUAUGCAGAAAGCAGGAGAAGAGGAAGCAGGAAAAUAUUGCUCUGAAGCUGUUGCCACAUUUCAUUGAAAAGUGAUAAUGCAGCCAUUGUUCUACUUUUUGCCUUUUGCUUUUGGCUGCUCACAUUAAAUUAAUAUAUGUGCCCUUCUUCUUCUUCUUUGUAUAGAGAAGCUGGCAUUGCAACUUGCAUGCGCCUACAAGGUUAGUUGUGAUCAACUUGUGAUGUCCAUGCCCCCCAAUUAUUUAAUGGGAUGCUUCGAUAUGGGUUCAUUUUUGAGUUUGCACUAUGAAUUCAGUUUAUCUUUCUUUUGAUGUAGAAUUGGGUCCAGCUCAGGCCAGCCAAGUAUGCAAAGCCUUGGCCAUUGUACAGUCAAUCCUCUGAAUUUUAUUAAUUACUGCAAUCAAUAAAUUAAUAUCACAUCUCUACGAUUAAUCUCAAUUUAUUAAAUGCUUUCAAUCUUUGAAUACCUUAUGAUGAGGUAUAUAUGUCUUUGGGUGGUUUGAUUUACCUGCUUUGCAGGUUUGUGUAUACCUCUUUCAUAGGUAAUUUCAUAUCAUAUAUCUCCUCCAUAGGUAAUUAAUAUAUACUUCCUCCAUAGAUAAAUAGCAUUCAGAUGUAUACCUCCUCCAUAGGUAAUUUACCUAUCCAUACCUAAUUAACAUUCAUGUAUAUUCCUAGUCCAUAGAUAAUUAUACCUCCUCCAUAGGACUACAAGAAGAAAAAGAAGGAAGAAGAAAGAUUGUGGGAAAUUUAGUUAUUUAUUUAUUGUAUCAGGGCAUGUUUAUGGGAUUUUCAAAAUUAAAAUGGAUGGACAAGAAAAUAUUUUAUAAAUUCAAAUCAUAAUUAACUAAAAGGUCAAAUAUAGUAAUUAUUGGCCUAAGAUUAAUUUCUCACUCUUUUAUGAAUUGCAAUCAGAAUCAAUAGUUGUAUUAAUUAGCUAAUUAUUAUGAUAUAAAUCAAUCUUCCCAAUUUAAAUCAUAAGGCAUAAUUGGAACAUGAAAAUAAAUGUAAAAAUAAAAAAUAUAUAUGAUUACAUCAUAAAAUUAGAAAAGGAAUGUAAUCCUAUGUGGCAUUAGAAGAGGACUUGGAUUACUAAUAAUACGUGUGUGGAUUGCACCCAAAUUCUACCGGAGAAAUUAUAGAAUGAUAUGGUAGUACCAUGUCAGCGUAUAGUACUCCCAUUUAAAUACAGCCACAUGUCCAUUUUAGAAAAGAAAUUAAUUACGUUUCACAACUGGACUUUUUAGUUUAAUUCUUAACUUUGGAAAUAAAAUUAGAAAAGAAAAAUUAAAAAAAGAAUUUCCUAACAGCCAACUAUCUCCUAACCCAACAACAACCCUAAUCCCAACUACCUGCUAUGAUGGCCACCCCUCUCCUUCCACUAUCUUCACCCCUGAUACUAAUUGUAGACAAGGGAUUUUAGAGGAAGGAGGAUUAAACUGGUAUUGAUGAUGAUGAAAUGGAGUAGUCUUGAUAAUUAAAAAUUGGUUCGUUCUUGAGGGUCUAUAUCUGGGUCUGAAAAUAUUCCAAGGUGGCAGUGGGUUGAAUUAACAUUGUGUAGAGUGUCAUAAGCGAAUUCAAAAAAAAUAUAUAUAUAUAUAUAUAUAUAUAGGGGAAUUAAGGAAGAUGAUGAUAUUAUUGGGUUUGGAUGUUGAUGGUUUUCAUGAGGAGCGGCGAUGGCAGUGGUGAAUAGAAAGAGAGAGGGGAGGAAGAGGAAGAGAGAAGGGUGGCUGCCAUGGUUUUUCUUCGUUUAAGUUUUCUCUUUUUCUAAUUUUAUUUCAAAACUUAAGAAUUAAUAAAGUAAAAAGUCUAGCUGUAAAAUAAUAA